This 468-nucleotide ribosomal RNA is filed under the name uncultured bacterium. Its description in RNAcentral is "partial 16S ribosomal RNA". It matches the Rfam family "Bacterial small subunit ribosomal RNA", at positions 28 to 507 of the family's 1533-position model. The record is from RNAcentral.
GACGAACGCUGGCGGCGUGCUUAACACAUGCAAGUCGAACGGAAAGGCCCUGCUUUUGUGGGGUGCUCGAGUGGCGAACGGGUGAGUAACACGUGAGUAACCUGCCCUUGACUUUGGGAUAACUUCAGGAAACUUGGGCUAAUACCGGAUAGGAGCUCCUGCUGCAUGGUGGGGGUUGGAAAGUUUCGGCGGUUGGGGAUGGACUCGCGGCUUAUCAGCUUGUUGGUGGGGUAGUGGCUUACCAAGGCUUUGACGGGUAGCCGGCCUGAGAGGGUGACCGGACACAUUGGGACUGAGAUACGGCCCAGACUACUACGGGAGGCAGCAGUGGGGAAUAUUGCACAAUGGGCGGAAGCCUGAUGCAGCAACGCAGCGUGCGGGAUGACGGCCUUCGGGUUGUAAACCGCUUUCGCCUGUGACGAAGCGUGAGUGACGGUAAUGGGUAAAGAAGCACCGGCUAACUACGUG